ACGAACGCUGGCGGCGUGCUUAACACAUGCAAGUCGAACGGAAAGGCCCUGCUUUUGUGGGGUGCUCGAGUGGCGAACGGGUGAGUAACACGUGAGUAACCUGCCCUUGACUUUGGGAUAACUUCAGGAAACUGGGGCUAAUACCGGAUAGGAGCUCCUGCUGCAUGGUGGGGGUUGGAAAGUUUCGGCGGUUGGGGAUGGACUCGCGGCUUAUCAGCUUGUUGGUGGGGUAGUGGCUUACCAAGGCUUUGACGGGUAGCCGGCCUGAGAGGGUGACCGGCCACAUGGGGACGAGGAAACGGCCCAGCCCCCUAGGGGAGGCAGGAGGGGGGAAGUUGGAACAAUGGGCGGAAGCCUAAGGCAGAAACGCCGGGUGGGGGAAAAGGGCCUUGGGGUUUAAAACCGCUUUCCCCUGUGACGAAGGGGGGGUGACGGUAAUGGGAAAAGAAGCACCGGCUAACUACGU
This 466-nucleotide ribosomal RNA is filed under the name uncultured bacterium. RNAcentral's name for it is "partial 16S ribosomal RNA". It matches the Rfam family "Bacterial small subunit ribosomal RNA", at positions 29 to 506 of the family's 1533-position model. The record is from RNAcentral.